Molecule: ribosomal RNA, 465 nt
Filed under: uncultured bacterium
Lineage: Bacteria
Description: partial 16S ribosomal RNA
Rfam family: Bacterial small subunit ribosomal RNA
Source: RNAcentral
GAUGAACGCUGGCGGCGUGCUUAACACAUGCCAGUCGAACGGAAAGGCUCCUGCUUGCAGGGGUACUCGAGUGGCGAACGGGUGAGUAACACGUGGGUGAUCUGCCCUGCACUUCGGGAUAAGCCUGGGAAACUGGGUCUAAUACCGGAGAGGAACACAUUUUGGAUGGUGUGGUGGAAAGUUUUUCGGUGUGGGAUGAGCUCGCGGCCUAUCAGCUUGUUCGUUGGGUAAUGGCAUACCAAGGCGUUGACGGGUAGCCGGCCUGAGAGGGUGUACGGCCACAUUGGGCCUGAGAUACGGCCCAGACUCCUACGGGAGGCAGCAGUGGGGAAUCUUGCAGAAUGGGCGCAAGCCUGAUGCAGCGACGCCGCGUGGGGGAUGACGGCCUUCGGGUUGUAAACUCCUUUCGCUAGGGACGAAGCGCAAGUGACGGUACCUGGAGAAGAAGCACCGGCUAACUACGUG